GGGCCCGCACAAGCGGUGGAGCAUGUGGUUUAAUUCGACGCAACGCGAAGAACCUUACCAGGUCUUGACAUCCUGCGAACUUUCUAGAGAUAGAUUGGUGCCUUCGGGAACGCAGUGACAGGUGCUGCAUGGCUGUCGUCAGCUCGUGUCGUGAGAUGUUGGGUUAAGUCCCGUAACGAGCGCAACCCUUGUCCUUAGUUGCCAGCACUUCGGGUGGGAACUCUAAGGAGACUGCCGGUGACAAACCGGAGGAAGGUGGGGGACGACGUCAAGUCAUCAUGGCCCUUACGACCUGGGCUACACACGUGCUACAAUGGCCAGUACAGAGGGCUGCUAACCCGUGAGGGG
RNAcentral lists this ribosomal RNA (348 nucleotides) under uncultured bacterium. RNAcentral describes it as "bacterial SSU rRNA". It matches the Rfam family "Bacterial small subunit ribosomal RNA", at positions 917 to 1264 of the family's 1533-position model. The record is from RNAcentral.